GAGGAAUAAGCAUCGGCUAACUCCGUGCCAGCAGCCGCGGUAAUACGGGGGAUGCAAGCGUUAUCCGGAAUCAUUGGGCGUAAAGCGCCUGUAGGUUGUUUAAUAAGUCUGUUGUUAAAGACUAGGGCUCAACCCUAGGAAAGCAAUGGAAACUAUUAGACUUGAGUAUGGCAGGGGUAGAGGGAAUUUCUAGUGUAGCGGUGAAAUGCGUAGAUAUUAGAAAGAACACCGGUGGCGAAAGCGCUCUACUGGACCAUUACUGACACUCAGAGGCGAAAGCUAGGGUAGCAAAAGGGAUUAGAUACCCCUGUAGUCCUAGCCGUAAACGAUGGAUACUACAUGUUGUGCGUAAUGUACAGUAUGGUAGCUAACGCGUUAAGUAUCCCGCCUGGGGAGUACGCUCGCAAGGGUGAAACUCAAAGGAAUUGACGGGGGCCCGCACAAGCGGUGGAGCAUGUGGUUUAAUUCGAUGCAACGCGAAGAACCUUACCAGGGCUUGACAUACUACGAAUUCUUUUGAAAAAAAGAAGUGCCUUCGGGAAUGUAGAUACAGGUGGUGCAUGGCUGUCGUCAGCUCGUGUCGUGAGAUGUUGGGUUAAGUCCCGCAACGAGCGCAACCCUUAUUUUUAGUUACCAAUUCGUUGGGAUUUUUAGAAAGACUGCCGGUGACAAACCGGAGGAAGGUGAGGAUGACGUCAAGUCAGCAUGCCCCUUAUGUCCUGGGCUACACACGUGCUACAAUGGUUAAGACAAAGAGUCGCGAGCUUGUAAAAGUCAGCUAAUCUCAUAAACUUAGCCUAAGUUCAGAUUGUAGGCUGCAACUCGCCUGCAUGAAG
This 836-nucleotide ribosomal RNA is filed under the name Haptophyta environmental samples. RNAcentral's name for it is "bacterial SSU rRNA". It matches the Rfam family "Bacterial small subunit ribosomal RNA", at positions 481 to 1325 of the family's 1533-position model. Lineage: Eukaryota; Haptophyta. The record is from RNAcentral.